GCCACUGUUACUCAGAGGGACUGCUCAGCUGGCACCAAACCCGUCCAUUGACUUUAUCGUCCUUCGGGUAUCUGUGUCGCCUGGAAGGAACUCCGGCCACCCUGGAGUUAUGCUGUAGACUUCUCCUACCCAACACCCUCCAAUGGAUCAUCAUCAAGCACUCUCCAUUUUGUCCCCAGAGAUCUCCAUGGGUUCCCCCACUCACUUAUUGCCUCCAUGUUGAUCCAAUUCACCAAUAUCUUUUGCCUAAAAAACUGUAAUAUCCUUCUCUAACAUUUCUUCCUGCAUAGGCUAUUAAAUCCUUCCAAACCAUUCUCUUCUCAGCAGCCUGAAUGAUGUUUUCAAAAUGCAAUUCCAAUCACAUGCCCUCUCUCAACU
Long non-coding RNA from Choloepus didactylus (southern two-toed sloth), 378 nucleotides. RefSeq lists it as uncharacterized. The transcript has 3 exons. The record is from RefSeq and is a predicted model, not a curated record. NCBI's taxonomy places the organism in Eukaryota, Metazoa, Chordata, Mammalia, Pilosa, Megalonychidae.